CCUUGGCCCAAGGAUCCAGAGGGCAGUUAACUGUGACAGCAGCUUGACUGAGAGAAGGAAGAGAGAUAGAAAGUCUAUCUUGGAGGAACUGUGUUGGUGGCUUUAUUGAUGGUGGCCCCUCAGUGGCUGGCUCCAUGGCAGGUUCUACAGACAUUUGUUGACUUGGCAGAGAAAGACAGAGAGGGAGAGAGUAAGCUCCCAACAGGUGUUUGCGCUGAAAGGAGCUAAAGAGAGCAAACCUUGAAACCUGGUAGCGUCACAAGAUGGAAGGAAAUGGUCCCUGAAUGACUGUAUGGAGCUGUCUGCCAAGUAGGAACAUGGACAUUUAUCACAGACUCUGGGGGAAGCUGGCUGCCAUGACACAUGGGGCUGCCAUGACAGCCCCACAGAGACACCCCUGUGGCCAGGACUGAGGUCUCCUGACAGCAGACCUGUUGGUGAGCCUGGAAAUCUUGGAGGCCCAGCUGAUGGUGUGCAGACAGUCUGAGAGAUCUUGUGCUAGAGCUACAAGGCAAAGCUGCUCCUGGACUCCCAACUCACAGAAACUACACUGGGUUCCAGUUGAACUUAUCCAGUUCCUUCGAGGUUAUCAUCACUCGCUCUGCUCUGGUUUUCAUCGUCGCUAUCAAGGAGUUGGCUGCUCGUCUAACUGUUGAUUUCUUGGAGGUGCGUAGGACUUAAUUAUAACCAAAUGAUCAAACUUCCUCUGAUAAUUUCUUUGAUCUUGCCUUCCAGAAAUCAGACCUACAAUUAA
Molecule: long non-coding RNA, 754 nt
Organism: Mustela erminea (ermine)
Lineage: Eukaryota; Metazoa; Chordata; Mammalia; Carnivora; Mustelidae
Exons: 7
Source: RefSeq, a predicted model, not a curated record